UUAAAAUUAGUUAAACAUUAUAACAUAGGCUUGUCAGUCCUAAAUUAUCAAUUUAUGAUAUUUUAAA
This 67-nucleotide transfer RNA is filed under the name Amphionides reynaudii. RNAcentral's name for it is "tRNA-Asp". The record is from RNAcentral. Lineage: Eukaryota; Metazoa; Arthropoda; Malacostraca; Decapoda; Pandalidae.